CCUGUGUGGUUGUCCUGGCACCAUUUUCACACUGCAGGCCAAAGCGGGCCAAGGCCUGGGUCGGCUGACGAGCUUCCGAGGAACAACUGCAGCAUUGAGGGCAGCCAGGCACACCGCGGGCCUGGAGACGCACCGCCUGACUCAUCUGGCUAAAAAUACACUCCGACAUUCCUCAGCUUCACAUAAAGAUGGCGCAGUGCCGGCCUGAUACGAGAUGUGCCGACGUCGGGCCCUUUUUUGUGUGAUACUGCCACAUGGCCUGCCCCCCCAACCCGGCCCACAAGCCCCGCCACUGUAAAUCCUCCCUCGCAGACUGUGGUGGUGGGGGGAGAGCACUGAUCUGGCAUGCGGUUCAGUCCUGUUCAGACCGGUCUGCGAAGCCUCGUGCGGCUCGGUGUCCCUCUCCUGAGCUGGGAGUGCAUGCAGCAGCCACCCCCCCCCUCCCCACUGGCCGGUUGCCCGGCGGUGUGCGUGAUCCCUCUACUGCCGCACUCAGCUAUGUGUUAAUCAGCUCCAGCGCAGCACCGGAAGGUUUCCACUUUUGGCUUUUUUAAAAUACCACUCAGAUUGCUUCAGGUACAAAUUGCAAUGUCCCAGUUUCCAAUGUCUAAUAAUGCAGCAUCUGUACAACAAAUCACUGCAGGUAUGCUAACCAGUCAGUUCUGACUUUAUUUAUUGCAUUAAAAACAUGCAAAAUGUGUGUUUGCACUUUUCUUUUUCAAAAGGAUAAAAGACUUAAGCUAAACUUGGUUACAAUACAAUUGAAAUUUUGGUGUAUAUCUCAACAUGGGCUGUCUUUUCAUUGCUGGAUAAAUUCAGGCCAAAGCUCCUCACAUCUCUCCAACAUCCUGCGCCCUGAUCAGACUUGGCCUGGCUAACACACUGUACCGUGAAACAUGUCGGCCGGGACCAUCUCUGGAAUUCGGACCCAGAUCCUAAUUAGUCAAACUUCAGGCUGUGAGGUUUGCUGUCAGUCGAAGGGUUAAAGAUUUCAGAUGAACCCGUGGCACAGUCCCCCAUCCCCCAGGCCCUCAGAGUCCGAUUUUAGCAACUGAUACCGAAACACUGGCUGCUGAAGAUUCACAACCGUAGCAAAAACGAGCCUGAACAAAACAGCCGAUAAUGUUCAGUAGCUGCACUCACUCUCUACACUAGGAAUGCUGGUCCUGAUGUACUCGCCAGGUUGCUCUGUGUUUGUGCAUCCUGCCUUGUCCUGGUUUAAGCAGCCUGUCUGAGCUCCGUUUCAUUACAGCAUAAUGCAGUCCCCUGUGCAGUGCUGUCUGCCAGCCUGUACAGAGCUGGCUAAUUGUCAUCAGAGCCAGAGCUAUUUACUCUGCUGUUUGUCAGACCACUUCUGGCAGUGACAGUAUUCUGUUGGAAUAUAAAAGAUAUUUUGUAAAUGCUGACUAUGUACCUGUUUGUGCAAAAUAUAAUCACUUCAUUUAUAUGUGAAUAAAAUGUUUUUUUUUUGGUCA
Long non-coding RNA from Brienomyrus brachyistius, 1475 nucleotides. RefSeq lists it as uncharacterized. The transcript is spliced from 2 exons. NCBI's taxonomy places the organism in Eukaryota, Metazoa, Chordata, Actinopteri, Osteoglossiformes, Mormyridae. The record is from RefSeq and is a predicted model, not a curated record.